Molecule: ribosomal RNA, 2777 nt
Filed under: Escherichia coli 4-203-08_S1_C2
Lineage: Bacteria; Pseudomonadati; Pseudomonadota; Gammaproteobacteria; Enterobacterales; Enterobacteriaceae
Description: bacterial LSU rRNA
Rfam family: Bacterial large subunit ribosomal RNA
Source: RNAcentral
UUAAGCGACUAAGCGUACACGGUGGAUGCCCUGGCAGUCAGAGGCGAUGAAGGACGUGCUAAUCUGCGAUAAGCGUCGGUAAGGUGAUAUGAACCGUUAUAACCGGCGAUUUCCGAAUGGGGAAACCCAGUGUGUUUCGACACACUAUCAUUAACUGAAUCCAUAGGUUAAUGAGGCGAACCGGGGGAACUGAAACAUCUAAGUACCCCGAGGAAAAGAAAUCAACCGAGAUUCCCCCAGUAGCGGCGAGCGAACGGGGAGCAGCCCAGAGCCUGAAUCAGUAUGUGUGUUAGUGGAAGCGUCUGGAAAGGCGCGCGAUCCAGGGUGACAGCCCCGUACACAAAAAUGCACAUGCUGUGAGCUCGAUGAGUAGGGCGGGACACGUGGUAUCCUGUCUGAAUAUGGGGGGACCAUCCUCCAAGGCUAAAUACUCCUGACUGACCGAUAGUGAACCAGUACCGUGAGGGAAAGGCGAAAAGAACCCCGGCGAGGGGAGUGAAAAAGAACCUGAAACCGUGUACGUACAAGCAGUGGGAGCACGCUUCGGCGUGUGACUGCGUACCUUUUGUAUAAUGGGUCAGCGACUUAUAUUCUGUAGCAAGGUUAACCGAAUAGGGGAGCCGAAGGGAAACCGAGUCUUAACUGGGCGUUAAGUUGCAGGGUAUAGACCCGAAACCCGGUGAUCUAGCCAUGGGCAGGUUGAAGGUUGGGUAACACUAACUGGAGGACCGAACCGACUAAUGUUGAAAAAUUAGCGGAUGACUUGUGGCUGGGGGUGAAAGGCCAAUCAAACCGGGAGAUAGCUGGUUCUCCCCGAAAGCUAUUUAGGUAGCGCCUCGUGAAUUCAUCUCCGGGGGUAGAGCACUGUUUCGGCAAGGGGGUCAUCCCGACUUACCAACCCGAUGCAAACUGCGAAUACCGGAGAAUGUUAUCACGGGAGACACACGGCGGGUGCUAACGUCCGUCGUGAAGAGGGAAACAACCCAGACCGCCAGCUAAGGUCCCAAAGUCAUGGUUAAGUGGGAAACGAUGUGGGAAGGCCCAGACAGCCAGGAUGUUGGCUUAGAAGCAGCCAUCAUUUAAAGAAAGCGUAAUAGCUCACUGGUCGAGUCGGCCUGCGCGGAAGAUGUAACGGGGCUAAACCAUGCACCGAAGCUGCGGCAGCGACGCUGAUGCGUUGUUGGGUAGGGGAGCGUUCUGUAAGCCUGCGAAGGUGUGCUGUGAGGCAUGCUGGAGGUAUCAGAAGUGCGAAUGCUGACAUAAGUAACGAUAAAGCGGGUGAAAAGCCCGCUCGCCGGAAGACCAAGGGUUCCUGUCCAACGUUAAUCGGGGCAGGGUGAGUCGACCCCUAAGGCGAGGCCGAAAGGCGUAGUCGAUGGGAAACAGGUUAAUAUUCCUGUACUUGGUGUUACUGCGAAGGGGGGACGGAGAAGGCUAUGUUGGCCGGGCGACGGUUGUCCCGGUUUAAGCGUGUAGGCUGGUUUUCCAGGCAAAUCCGGAAAAUCAAGGCUGAGGCGUGAUGACGAGGCACUACGGUGCUGAAGCAACAAAUGCCCUGCUUCCAGGAAAAGCCUCUAAGCAUCAGGUAACAUCAAAUCGUACCCCAAACCGACACAGGUGGUCAGGUAGAGAAUACCAAGGCGCUUGAGAGAACUCGGGUGAAGGAACUAGGCAAAAUGGUGCCGUAACUUCGGGAGAAGGCACGCUGAUAUGUAGGUGAGGUCCCUCGCGGAUGGAGCUGAAAUCAGUCGAAGAUACCAGCUGGCUGCAACUGUUUAUUAAAAACACAGCACUGUGCAAACACGAAAGUGGACGUAUACGGUGUGACGCCUGCCCGGUGCCGGAAGGUUAAUUGAUGGGGUCAGCGCAAGCGAAGCUCUUGAUCGAAGCCCCGGUAAACGGCGGCCGUAACUAUAACGGUCCUAAGGUAGCGAAAUUCCUUGUCGGGUAAGUUCCGACCUGCACGAAUGGCGUAAUGAUGGCCAGGCUGUCUCCACCCGAGACUCAGUGAAAUUGAACUCGCUGUGAAGAUGCAGUGUACCCGCGGCAAGACGGAAAGACCCCGUGAACCUUUACUAUAGCUUGACACUGAACAUUGAGCCUUGAUGUGUAGGAUAGGUGGGAGGCUUUGAAGUGUGGACGCCAGUCUGCAUGGAGCCGACCUUGAAAUACCACCCUUUAAUGUUUGAUGUUCUAACGUUGACCCGUAAUCCGGGUUGCGGACAGUGUCUGGUGGGUAGUUUGACUGGGGCGGUCUCCUCCUAAAGAGUAACGGAGGAGCACGAAGGUUGGCUAAUCCUGGUCGGACAUCAGGAGGUUAGUGCAAUGGCAUAAGCCAGCUUGACUGCGAGCGUGACGGCGCGAGCAGGUGCGAAAGCAGGUCAUAGUGAUCCGGUGGUUCUGAAUGGAAGGGCCAUCGCUCAACGGAUAAAAGGUACUCCGGGGAUAACAGGCUGAUACCGCCCAAGAGUUCAUAUCGACGGCGGUGUUUGGCACCUCGAUGUCGGCUCAUCACAUCCUGGGGCUGAAGUAGGUCCCAAGGGUAUGGCUGUUCGCCAUUUAAAGUGGUACGCGAGCUGGGUUUAGAACGUCGUGAGACAGUUCGGUCCCUAUCUGCCGUGGGCGCUGGAGAACUGAGGGGGGCUGCUCCUAGUACGAGAGGACCGGAGUGGACGCAUCACUGGUGUUCGGGUUGUCAUGCCAAUGGCACUGCCCGGUAGCUAAAUGCGGAAGAGAUAAGUGCUGAAAGCAUCUAAGCACGAAACUUGCCCCGAGAU